UUAAAUUGAAGAGUUUGAUCAUGGCUCAGAUUGAACGCUGGCGGCAGGCCUAACACAUGCAAGUCGAACGGUAACAGGAAGCAGCUUGCUGCUUUGCUGACGAGUGGCGGACGGGUGAGUAAUGUCUGGGAAACUGCCUGAUGGAGGGGGAUAACUACUGGAAACGGUGGCUAAUACCGCAUAACGUCGCAAGACCAAAGAGGGGGACCUUCGGGCCUCUUGCCAUCAGAUGUGCCCAGAUGGGAUUAGCUUGUUGGUGAGGUAACGGCUCACCAAGGCGACGAUCCCUAGCUGGUCUGAGAGGAUGACCAGCCACACU
Molecule: ribosomal RNA, 319 nt
Filed under: Salmonella enterica subsp. enterica serovar Kentucky
Lineage: Bacteria; Pseudomonadati; Pseudomonadota; Gammaproteobacteria; Enterobacterales; Enterobacteriaceae
Description: bacterial SSU rRNA
Rfam family: Bacterial small subunit ribosomal RNA
Source: RNAcentral